This 518-nucleotide ribosomal RNA is filed under the name uncultured bacterium. RNAcentral's name for it is "partial 16S ribosomal RNA". It matches the Rfam family "Bacterial small subunit ribosomal RNA", at positions 28 to 523 of the family's 1533-position model. The record is from RNAcentral.
GACGAACGCUGGCGGCGUGCUUAACACAUGCAAGUCGAACGGAGAAUUUAUUUCGGUAAAUUCUUAGUGGCGAACGGGUGAGUAACGCGUGGGCAACCUGCCCUUCAGAUGGGGACAACAUCCCGAAAGGGGUGCUAAUACCGAAUACGAUUACGCUGCCGCAUGGCGGUGUGAUGAAAGAUGGCCUCUAUUUAUAAGCUAUCGCUGAAGGAUGGGCCUGCGUCUGAUUAGCUAGUUGGUGGGGUAACGGCCUACCAAGGCGAUGAUCAGUAGCCGGUCUGAGAGGAUGAACGGCCACAUUGGGACUGAGACACGGCCCAAACUCCUACGGGAGGCAGCAGUGGGGAAUAUUCCGCAAUGGACGAAAGUCUGACGGAGCAACGCCGCGUGAGUGAUGAAGGUUUUCGGACUGUAAAGCUCUGUUGUUUAGGACGAAAGUGCCUGUUGCAAAUAGUUGCAGGUAUUGGCGGUACUGAACGAGGAAGCCACGGCUAACUACGUGCCAGCAGCCGCAGUAA